RNAcentral lists this unclassified non-coding RNA (1191 nucleotides) under Homo sapiens (human). Its description in RNAcentral is "kinesin family member 26B (ENSG00000281216.1)". The record is from RNAcentral. Lineage: Eukaryota; Metazoa; Chordata; Mammalia; Primates; Hominidae.
CCUGGAGAAAUGCUUCCUGCUCCUCCCGCCCUCCCCACCACCAUCCUGCUGUAUUUAAAGCUGCUUUGGUGAUGCUUUGCUCAUCUCAGUGAAUUUUCAGUUCAGACCUUUUCACUAAGGAUCAUUAUGGAAGAAAGAGGGGUAAGAAGUGUGGCUGAGUAGCCUAGGAUUAAUUCAUCAGUCCCCAAAUAAGCAAACACGAUGUCUCAGGAUGGACGGUGAAAUUCUGGACCUCACAGGACCCUGCUUUCUCGGCUGUGAUUCACGACAAACUCCAGGUCCCCAACACCAUCCGGAAGGCAUGGAACGACCGGGACAACCGCUGUGACAUUUGCGCCACUCACCUGAACCAGUUGAAGCAGGAGGCCAUCCAGAUGGUGCUGACGUUGGAGCAGGCAGCCGGCAGUGAGCACUACGACGCCUCGCCCUGCUCCCCGCCACCGCUCUCCAACAUCCCCACCCUGGUGGGGUCCCGGCACGUGGGUGGGCUCCAGCAGCCCAGAGACUGGGCCUUUGUGCCCGCCCCCUGUGCCACCUCCAACUACACAGGCUUCGCCAACAAGCACGGCAGCAAACCCAGCAGCCUUGGGGUCAGCAAUGGGGCGGAAAAGAAGAGCGGGUCCCCAACCCACCAGGCCAAGGUCAGCCUCCAGAUGGCCACCAGUCCAAGCAAUGGGAACAUCCUCAAUUCGGUGGCCAUCCAGGCUCACCAGUACCUGGAUGGCACCUGGUCCCUGUCGAGAACCAACGGGGUCACCCUGUACCCAUACCAGGACUCCGAAGCUCUUGUCACACGUGGCAGGGGCCGGUUAGAAGACUCGGCGGCUGCGCCAGCGCUGAUGAGCGAGGACAGAGGAGCAUGAAACUGGUGCUUUCCUGUAAAAUAUUCAAAAGCAGAUGGCCUCUGGAUCAGUGCCAGAGCCAUUCCCCGGGCAGAGAAGCAUCUAGACCUUGUCACUACCAAGGGUGCGGCUCCACACCCGCGGGACCCGAGCCUCUAGAAAUGAGGGAGAAGACGACUCUGCCUUUCUGCAAUUUAGACGUCGCAAGGAUGAAAACGAUGCGGACAGGCUUUCCAGCAGUGAGCCUGGGGAAAUCUGCGUCACAUGGGCGACAGAAGGUCCCUCGAAUCCCUCAAUCCCCGUGGCCCGCACCACUGUGUAAUAAUCUCCAAAGGUUGCAGUAGGAAGA